Molecule: ribosomal RNA, 305 nt
Filed under: uncultured bacterium
Lineage: Bacteria
Description: bacterial SSU rRNA
Rfam family: Bacterial small subunit ribosomal RNA
Source: RNAcentral
UUCAGCCUACGGGACGCAGCAGUGGGGAAUAUUGCACAAUGGGGGAAACCCUGAUGCAGCGACGCCGCGUGAGUGAAGAAGUAAUUCGUUAUGUAAAGCUCUAUCAGCAGGGAAGAAAAUGACGGUACCUGAGUAAGAAGCCCCGGCUAACUACGUGCCAGCAGCCGCGGUAAUACGUAGGGGGCAAGCGUUAUCCGGAUUUACUGGGUGUAAAGGGAGCGUAGACGGCGGCGCAAGUCUGGAGUGAAAUCCCGGGGCUCAACCCCGGAACUGCUUUGGAAACUGCGCGGCUCGAGUGCAGGAGG